This 719-nucleotide long non-coding RNA is filed under the name Cyanistes caeruleus (blue tit). RNAcentral describes it as "lncRNA (ENSCCEG00000009141.1)". The record is from RNAcentral. Lineage: Eukaryota; Metazoa; Chordata; Aves; Passeriformes; Paridae.
CCAGAGUCCUGCAGCUCACCAUCUCCAUGUCAGCUCUCCAGCAUUCUGCAUGAAGUGAAUAAAGGAGGAGCAACAGCAGGAAAAGGAGGGGGAAAGAUACAACAGAUGUUCGAGAGGAUGUUGGGAAACAGCCAGUGCAUUAACAUAGCAUCCAGCUUCUUCUUUUGCCUUGCCAUGUGGAAAUAAAUGUGGCAACAAGUGCAGUUAUUUUUGCUGUUUAACACCAAUCUCCUAGAAUUUGGUGAAUAUCUACCUUUGAUGCUGACUUGCCCAGGAAUCUUCAGUGUCUUUAGAGUCCAACUGUGACCUGCUGGACCAUCAAAAACCAUCAAAGCAUGCCUGCAGACACCAUCAUCCUAAAUUUCCUGGAGACAUGUUCUGUUUGUCCUGAUAGCAGAAUUUCAAAGAAUGAUUGACUGAUUCUGUUAUUAAAGACUAUGCCUAAGAGGAAAAAGCUGCUCAGCCUUUUGUCUGUUGCAUUUUUUUUUCCCUUGCCUUCUAUGUGUUUUUGUUAAUGUAACUGCUCAUAUUAAUUACAAGCCGUAGCUUUAUUUCAACUAAUGUCUUUUUGAAGGUUUAGCAACGAAGUGUGUUUGCAAUGUAGUACAAAUGUAGGAUCCAAAAGGAUGUUCUGGUUUCUUCCUGGUGCUCAGCUGUGACCUGGUGUAAGUCAGAGUGAGGAUGACACCCUUCCCACCCUUCCUGCUGUCCAGGGCUUG